Molecule: ribosomal RNA, 500 nt
Filed under: uncultured bacterium
Lineage: Bacteria
Description: partial 16S ribosomal RNA
Rfam family: Bacterial small subunit ribosomal RNA
Source: RNAcentral
GACGAACGCUGGCGGCGUGCCUAAUACAUGCAAGUCGAGCGGACCUCUUCGGAGGUCAGCGGCGGACGGGUGAGUAACACGUGGGCAACCUGCCUGUAAGACUGGGAUAACACCGGGAAACCGGUGCUAAUACCGGAUAAUCCUUUUCCUCACAUGAGGGGAAGCUGAAAGACGGUUUCGGCUGUCACUUACAGAUGGGCCCGCGGCGCAUUAGCUAGUUGGUGGGGUAACGGCCCACCAAGGCGACGAUGCGUAGCCGACCUGAGAGGGUGAUCGGCCACACUGGGACUGAGACACGGCCCAGACUCCUACGGGAGGCAGCAGUAGGGAAUCUUCCGCAAUGGACGAAAGCCUGACGGAGCAACGCCGCGUGAGCGAAGAAGGCCUUCGGGUCGUAAAGCUCUGUUGUCAGGGAAGAACACGUACCGGAGUAACUGCCGGUACCUUGACGGUACCUGACCAGAAAGCCACGGCUAACUACGUGCCAGCAGCCGCCGUAA